AUUGAACGCUUGCGGCAGGCCUAACACAUGCAAGUCGAGAGAGCGGCGGACGGGUUAGUAAUGUAUGGGGACUGCCCGAUAGAGGGGGGUAAAUACUGGAAAAGGUGUCUAACACCGCAUACUGUCGGAUGCCCCAUAUGGGCUUCGCUAGUAGGUAAGGUAAUGUGUUACCUUGGCGACGAUCCCUAGCUGGUCUGAGAGGAUGAUCAGCCACACUGGGACUGAGACACGGCCCAGACUCCUACGGAGGCAGCAGUGGGGAAUAUUGCACAAUGGGCGCAAGCCUGAUGCAGCCAUGCCGGGUGUAUGAAGAAGACCCUAGGGUUGUAAAGUACUUUCAGUCGGGAGGCGUUACCGACAGAAGAAGCACCGGCUAACUCCGUGCCAGCAGCCGCGGUAAUUC
This 403-nucleotide ribosomal RNA is filed under the name uncultured bacterium. Its description in RNAcentral is "partial 16S ribosomal RNA". It matches the Rfam family "Bacterial small subunit ribosomal RNA", at positions 30 to 526 of the family's 1533-position model. The record is from RNAcentral.